This 500-nucleotide long non-coding RNA is filed under the name Equus caballus (horse). RNAcentral describes it as "lncRNA (ENSECAG00000057923.1)". Lineage: Eukaryota; Metazoa; Chordata; Mammalia; Perissodactyla; Equidae. The record is from RNAcentral.
AGCGUUUAUCCUGCUUUUUGUUGCUUUGUUUUAUUUUCCCAAAUGUCACGCAUAGCAGUUUUUCACCAACACUGCCUAACGAAGAGCUUGUCUCAGUGAGAAUCCAGGGCCUGCCUGGUUGGAGUUUUGGAGUUGAGAGACCCAGAGCUGUGCAAACCUUUGCCUCAGCGCUUCUACCUCAGCAGUCUUUCAGAGUGACUGAUCUCGAACUCACUUCGCCUCUUCAGCACAGCAGAUUUGGUUCAUAACCGCUCCCACCCCUUGGCAUGAGGAGCCUCAGGUGCACACGUGUGAACAUCCCAGCCUGCGCAUCGCAGUCCUGUCCUGGCGGCACACACACCAGCAGCAUGGCCUACCCUGCGAGAACAGGCCCAUGCAGGAUUGCUCUACACUUGUGCUGAGAACAGUAUACAAGGAGCCCUGGGUGGAAGCCAAAUACCACAUAAGAGGUAUUCACAGCAAUCCAGUCAAGAGAUGAUGGUGGCCAAGGACCAAGGUGG